GGGUGGAACCCGAGCCAUGUCUUCUCUGUACGGCAGCCUGGCAGGGUUGCAGGAGCUCGGCCUUCUAGACACUGUGACCUACCUGAGUGGGGUCUCUGGGUCCACCUGGUGCAUCUCCACACUCUACAGGGACCCAGCCUGGUCCCAGGUGGCCUUGCAGGGCCCCAUUGAGCAUGCCCAGGUUCACGUCUGCAGCAGUAAGAUGGGAGCUUUGUCCACGGAGCGGCUACAGUACUACACUCAGGAACUGGGGGUCCGGGAGCGCAGUGGCCACAGCGUGUCCCUCAUCGACCUCUGGGGCCUCCUUGUGGAGUAUUUCCUGUACCAGGAGGUGAGAGAAGAGCCAGAAGGAAAUACGUAGGCUCCUCUCCACUCCUUCCACCCGCCCCUUGCUUCUGCCUCAUCCCUCAGGCUAAGAUCUGAUUUACAAAGCUGUUCCUGAGGUCUCGGCUCCCCUGGGGCCAGGAGUGAGACUCCAGGGUGGGCUGGCAUCACUUUGCCUCCCUAGCUCCUAACCCCUGGGGAGGAGGAGCCUGGCCCACAGUGCUCAGCGCUGGCUGCAUAUUGGAAUCACCGGCGUAGCUUUUCAAACACACCCAUGCCUUGGCCCCCCUUCCAGAGAGAGUGAUUUUAGUUGGUCUCAGGAUGUUUUGAAAGUGAUUUCAGCCCACACCUGGAAGUGAGGCUCAGCACCACACCCACUCCUUGGCCAAUUCCGCCAUAACUCACUCCGCCUGGCGGCUCCUGGAACUUCAGACCCAGCUGCAGUUCCAGGCGAUA
RNAcentral lists this small RNA (780 nucleotides) under Pongo abelii (Sumatran orangutan). RNAcentral describes it as "retained intron". The record is from RNAcentral. Lineage: Eukaryota; Metazoa; Chordata; Mammalia; Primates; Hominidae.